UUGCCCAAAAUUUAAGCGUGAAUAUCAAUUAAGCAGAUCUAGGGUUUUGAUGCUGAAGUCUAGUCUGCUCCCCAAAAUCACUAGAACUAUAAACUUCUCUCCCCCAUCAUUGAUCGAAUCAUCCUCCGCUCAACCAUCACCGAUGGAAUCAUCCUCCGCUCCACCUCACUGUCAACGACGUCCCCUGAAUCACAUGGCAACGAUUUCACACCGUCCGUUCGCACCACCACUCCGUCACCGGAACACUCGCAGUCAUCACCGGCCACUCGUUUCAAGCCCUUAGAUAUAUCAAAAGUUUGACUUAAGGAAGAGCUGGCUAGCUGGGGGAAUUUUAGAGGCGAGGAAUCCUACAUGCUAAUAUGUACAAGAUCCAUUGUGAAGCGACCGUUUUUCAUUUUUCAUCUACUGGUAUGGUUUAGUUUCAAUGUCAAAAGAAUCCUUGUAAGUUGUUGGUUUGUUUGACCUCAAAAUUCAAACUUGAUCAUUUUUCAUCUACUGGUGUGGUUUAGUUUAUUUUUGAACAACCAAAUGCAACUCUUGGAUCAUGUAUGCAGCUGGUCAAUAACUUAUUAAGACCUGCUAUCAACAACCAACAGAUUCUCUCCGAGUCUAUUUCAUUACUGGUAAGAAUCUUUCUUGAUUCUUACUGAUAUAGACAAAAAAGGGUGCGAUUAGUCUUGAGAAAUUGAGUCAGAUUGAAAAGUUGAACUUAGUUAUCAAGGAGCUCGUUAAGGAAAAAGACGAAGAAAAAGAAAGGUUCAAUGGAAUUAUUGCGGGGUUGUUGGCUGAUAAAGAAAAAGAUAAGGUGGAUAAAGAUGCUAUGCUUGAUAGGAUGUCACAAAUUGAAGCUAUGUUAACAGCUACAGUUCGAAGAUAGGCUAUAAACACUUGAUUUUGAAUGUUUAGAUGUUUAUCUUAUUAGGAUAAUUUUAGUUAUUCUAUGUUUUAGUUGGUAUUUUUAUAUGCUUUUGAAAACGAGAUGUUUUAUAUAAUUUUGUGAUUUUAUUAGACUUUUUUAUAUUAUUUGUAGUUUUAUUGAUAUGUAAUUUUGAUGAAAAUAGUAGGGAGAAAAAAAAAUCUGAAUUAAAAAC
RNAcentral lists this long non-coding RNA (1091 nucleotides) under Helianthus annuus (common sunflower). RNAcentral's name for it is "hypothetical non coding rna". The record is from RNAcentral. Lineage: Eukaryota; Viridiplantae; Streptophyta; Magnoliopsida; Asterales; Asteraceae.